Molecule: long non-coding RNA, 1483 nt
Organism: Rattus norvegicus (Norway rat)
Lineage: Eukaryota; Metazoa; Chordata; Mammalia; Rodentia; Muridae
Source: RefSeq, a predicted model, not a curated record
CAUGAGACUCAGUUCCUCCAAUGGUGUUUCACCUCCUGAAGAUCCUGUACCCUCUCAGAACAGCACCAGCCAGAGCAUGGAGCGGGAGGGGAGACACGAGCUGGCUUCAGCAUCCAUCCCUUUCUGUCUCUUCUCUGAGUGCCCAUGAACAACCUCAACUUCCGGCCACCACACCUUUCCCUCCACAAUGGACUGCAUCCCCCAGCUGUGAGGAGGAGCAAACCCUUUCUCCUUGAGUCAGGUGUUUUGUCGAAGCAUCAAGAAGAGCAAGUGGCACACUUAGAACCUUGGCACGACCACGGCCAUGUUUUCAGUACGGAAGAUUCAAAUAUACUGGACCUGCUUCUGUGGGCAGAUAAGCCACAUCUCAGGCCUCUGGAUCAUUGAGUGAGGUUGAACCCCCUCACAGGAGGAUAAAGUCCCUGAGUAGCUUCCUCUUUCACCAAGAAACCCAGAGCCACUCAUGGGGCCUUCUUAGUGCUCAUUGCUUGAUGCCCCGUGUCAAUGACAGUGACCUCUACCUCAGGGUGAUGAGCAGGCAGGUGCCCAUUAGCUCAGCCCCAGGCGCUUUGACUGGCUGACUUGGGAUGACAGUUGGCCAACUGAUACCCAGUGCUGCAGCUGGCUGUCACACCUGAGGUUCUUCUCCUGGGACAGCAGGCAUCUUGGCCCCCAUCUCCAGUGUUAGGUGACGGCUGACUGACCAGACUUGCUAGGCAAGUCCUGGCUCAUUUGUCCCAGCCCCAGCAAACUCAGCUGCCUUUAUGGGCUGGAGAGGAUCUGGCAUGAAUCCCUGGCUGCGAAGACGGCAGCUGCAGAAUCUAUCUAACUUGCCCAUCCCCCAUCCUCUGCCCUUUGCCUCUGGUACCCACUGGGCUUCUGCACUGGGCCCUGAACAAUUACAGUGGAGAGCCAACUUCAAGAUCUGCCUGGUGUGUUGGCCAUCAGCGUGGCAGGGCUAUGUUUAGCUCCAGAAUUUCAGCUUCCUGAUCUUAGGAACGGUGACAAAAGCAUUGGAGGCAAAGAGAGAAGAUCUGCAGCUUCUGUUCCCUGGCUACACUGAAGACAGAAAGAGGAAGCUACGUGCCCAGCCAACCACCACUCGGGCUUGAGGUUGUCAGGGAAGCCAUCCUGCCAGACAAUGGAGAAUUUAAGAGAGGGGCAGAAGAAGUGGCUCGGCUGUUAAGAGCGUUUGCUGCUCUUGCAGAAGACACAGGUUCAGUUUCCCAGGACUCGCAUGGUGGUUCACAACGACCUGUAACUCCAGUUCCAGGAGAUCUGACACCCUCUUCCGGCCUCCCCAGCCACCAGGUAUGUGGGCAGACACACUUGGAGGCAAACGCUCACACACUCAACUAGCCAGGGAGUCUGCUGGCCAGUAAAUCCCAACUGGACUGCUUCUAAAUCCUUCCUUGUAGCUGUCUGAUUUCAUUCCAUCACAAGUCUUAAAGAAAAUAAAAUAAAAUUGACAUUAUCACCCUCA